UUUUUUUUUUUUUUUUCUUUGAUUUAUUUCUUGUCUGCGUGUUUCUAAUCUACCAUGUUUUGAAAUAAUUAUUUGUGUUUAUUAUGGAUAUGAACAUAUAUAAUGUCUCUGCUAUUUUCUCUUUCUGGGUUCUUUGAAUUUCUUGAUUUUCCUUAUCAAUUUAAAAAAAUUUUCCCCAUAAAUUCCUCUGACAGGAUAGGAGCUUAAA
RNAcentral lists this unclassified non-coding RNA (208 nucleotides) under Hevea brasiliensis (rubber tree). The record is from RNAcentral. Lineage: Eukaryota; Viridiplantae; Streptophyta; Magnoliopsida; Malpighiales; Euphorbiaceae.